UGUUGCACUACUUACUCAUGCAAUGUCGUAGCGAAUGAUGAGGAGCUUGCUCCUCUGAUUUAGCGGCGGACGGGUGAGUAACACGUGGGUAAUCUGCCUGUAAGACGGGGAUAACUCCGGGAAACCGGGGCUAAUACCGGAUAAUAAGAGAAGAAGCAUUUCUUCUUUUUGAAAGUCGGUUUCGGCUGACACUUACAGAUGAACCCGCGGCGCAAUAACUAGUUGGGGAGGUAACGGCUCACCAAGGCGACGAUGCGUAGCCCACCUGAGAGGGUGAUCGGCCACACUGGGACUGAAACACGGCCCAGACUCCUACGGGAGGCAGCAGUAGGGAAUCUUCGGCAAUGGGCGAAAGCCUGACCGAACAACGCCGCGUGAGCGAUGAAGGCCUUCGGGUCGUAAAGCUCUGUUGUUAGAGAAGAACAAGUACGAGAGUAACUGCUCGUACCUUGACGGUACCUAACCAGAAAGCCACGGCUAACUACGUGCCAGCAGCCGCGGUAAUACGUAGGUGGCAAGCGUUAUCCGGAAUUAUUGGGCGUAAAGCGCGCGCAGGCGGUCUCUUAAGUCUGAUGUGAAAGCCCACGGCUCAACCGUGGAGGGUCAUUGGAAACUGGGAGACUUGAGUGCAGGAGAG
This 637-nucleotide ribosomal RNA is filed under the name Fictibacillus arsenicus. Its description in RNAcentral is "bacterial SSU rRNA". It matches the Rfam family "Bacterial small subunit ribosomal RNA", at positions 38 to 656 of the family's 1533-position model. The record is from RNAcentral. Lineage: Bacteria; Bacillati; Bacillota; Bacilli; Caryophanales; Fictibacillaceae.